This 433-nucleotide ribosomal RNA is filed under the name uncultured bacterium. RNAcentral describes it as "partial 16S ribosomal RNA". It matches the Rfam family "Bacterial small subunit ribosomal RNA", at positions 29 to 507 of the family's 1533-position model. The record is from RNAcentral.
AACUAACGCUGGCGGCAUGCCUAACACAUGCAAGUCGAACGAGACCUUCGGGUCUAGUGGCGCACGGGUGCGUAACGCGUGGGAACCUGCCCUUAGGUUCGGAAUAACUCCCCGAGAGGGGUGCUAAUACCGGAUAAUGUCUUCGGACCAAAGAUUUAUCGCCUUUGGAUGGGCCCGCGUUGGAUUAGCUAGUUGGUAGGGUAAAAGCCUACCAAGGCGACGAUCCAUAGCUGGUCUGAGAGGAUGAUCAGCCACACUGGGACUGAGACACGGCCCAGACUCCUACGGGAGGCAGCAGUGGGGAAUAUUGGACAAUGGGCGAAAGCCUGAUCCAGCAAUGCCGCGUGAGUGAUGAAGGCCUUAGGGUUGUAAAGCUCUUUUACCCGGGAUGAUAAUGACAGUACCGGGAGAAUAAGCUCCGGCUAACUCCGUG